Molecule: ribosomal RNA, 468 nt
Filed under: uncultured bacterium
Lineage: Bacteria
Description: partial 16S ribosomal RNA
Rfam family: Bacterial small subunit ribosomal RNA
Source: RNAcentral
GACGAACGCUGGCGGCGUGCUUAACACAUGCAAGUCGAACGGAAAGGCCCUGCUUUUGUGGGGUGCUCGAGUGGCGAACGGGUGAGUAACACGUGAGUAACCUGCCCUUGACUUUGGGAUAACUUCAGGAAACUGGGGCUAAUACCGGAUAGGAGCUCCUGCUGCAUGGUGGGGGUUGGAAAGUUUCGGCGGUUGGGGAUGGACUCGCGGCUUAUCAGCUUGUUGGUGGGGUAGUGGCUUACCAAGGCUUUGACGGGUAGCCGGCCUGAGAGGGUGACCGGCCACAUUGGGACUGAGAUAUGGCCCAGACUCCUACGGGAGGCAGCAGUGGGGAAUAUUGCCCAAUGGGCGGAAGCCUGAUGCAGCAACGCCGCGUGCGGGAUGACGGCCUUCGGGUUGUAAACCGCUUUCGCCUGUGACGAAGCGUGAGUGACGGUAAUGGGUAAAGAAGCACCGGCUAACUACGUG